UACAGAGGUUUCAAGCGUUGUUCGGAAUUACUGGGCGUAAAGGGUGCGCAGGCCGCUCGGGCAGUCAAAUGUGUAAUCCAGGGGCUCAACCCCUGAACUGCGCUUGAUACUUCCGCGCUCGAGCUUUGGAGAGGAGUCUGGAAUUCUCGGUGUAGCAGUGAAAUGCGUGGAUAUCGAGAAGAACACUUAGGGCGUAGGCAAGACUCUGGACAAAUGCUGACGCUGAUGCACGAAGGCUAGGGUAGCGAACGGG
This 253-nucleotide ribosomal RNA is filed under the name uncultured bacterium. RNAcentral describes it as "partial 16S ribosomal RNA". It matches the Rfam family "Bacterial small subunit ribosomal RNA", at positions 524 to 776 of the family's 1533-position model. The record is from RNAcentral.